RNAcentral lists this ribosomal RNA (298 nucleotides) under uncultured bacterium. RNAcentral describes it as "partial 16S ribosomal RNA". It matches the Rfam family "Bacterial small subunit ribosomal RNA", at positions 475 to 776 of the family's 1533-position model. The record is from RNAcentral.
CUAUGCGCCUUGCCAGCCCGCUCAGGUGUGCCAGCAGCCGCGGUAAUACGGAGGAUCCAAGCGUUAUCCGGAUUUAUGGGUUUAAAGGGUGCGUAGGCGGAUUGAUAAGUUAGAGGUGAAAUGUCCGAGCUUAACUCGGGAACUGCCUCUAAUACUGUUGAUCUAGAGAGUAGAUGCGGUAGGCGGAAUGUAUGGUGUAGCGGUGAAAUGCUUAGAGAUCAUACAGAACACCGAUUGCGAAGGCAGCUUACCAAACUAUAUCUGACGUUGAGGCACGAAAGCGUGGGUAUCGAACAGG